CGUCUCCUCCACCCUCCUCCUUUGGUGUGGAUUUGCCCAGGCACCCAGUGCCUGGGCUUUUUCU
Molecule: non-coding RNA, 64 nt
Rfam family: Betaproteobacteria toxic small RNA
About the family: Overexpression in amino aid rich medium attenuates growth, suggesting role in repressing amino acid intake and metabolism.